This is a long non-coding RNA of Scatophagus argus, 2900 nucleotides long. RefSeq lists it as uncharacterized. The transcript has 2 exons. NCBI's taxonomy places the organism in Eukaryota, Metazoa, Chordata, Actinopteri, Scatophagidae. The record is from RefSeq and is a predicted model, not a curated record.
GAAUGCUACAGAAGAGGUCGUCUCCGUGCUCUAACUUUACCCACAGCCCUUCGAUAGCUUAACGACGUAACAAGUAAGCCAAGAGUUACAAACCUCCAAAAACCCCGUCUUACACUGGUGGCAGCGGGUUUGUUUACUGCUAAUCUUUGCAGAGUUUUGACUUUUGCCGGAGAUUAACGAGCCGACUGCCUGCGCGACGACGGCGCCUUUUUUUCCCUCCUCACCGUGAACUGCUCCUGCUUCAAGCUAACGCCAAGCUAGCGACUCAGUCAGUGUGCUGGUGGAAUGUAACGGACUGUGGUGGACAUUAAGUCUUCAAGAUAACAACAAAGCAACACAACAGUGAGUUACAGAGACUGACAAAGUGGAUAUAACGUUUUCUGCUCUCUUCGUGGGUUUUCCUGCUGCUUCAUGUGGGAGUACUGCUGCUGAACUUUUCUACGGAGGGCGGUUGCGUGGUAAAGUUGUUUAUGUGUCACUGUGGAAACUUCUACUGCAAAGUGGACUCACCUGGCUCACCCAAGCUAAGACUGUUAAGCUGCACAGGCCCAUUCUGAACUUUAACUGUAUUUUUAUGAGCUGUGCCCUUGCCAGUUCAUACAGUGUGCACUGACAAUAAAGAUGGCAAAUCACAAUGACCUUUGGAACGAACUGCCCUUUCCUCUGAGCUGUAGCCACGUUAUGCCACAGUUUUGUAAAGGGGAUUUUCCUCAUGUUUUCAUGGGCGAUGGAAAAGAGGAUUUUUCUAAAUGGUGCAGACGUUUUGAAGUGGCUGUCGACGCUGUGCCUAAUUAUGAUGAAGAUAGUUUUGCUAAACUGCUGCCCACACGCCUUGGUGGUGCUGCUUUUAGUUACUGGGAUGGCCUACCUGAUGCAACUAAAUCUGACUACAACCUUAUGAAAGAAAAACUGAAAGCUGUUUUUGGACAGACUGCUUAUCUUUCUACAUUUCAAAGUUAUGUCAACGCACGCACUCGCUUACCUGGAGAGGCCCUUCCAGUUUUUGCUGCUGAAAUUAGUCAUCUAGUGGAGGAAGCUUUUCCCACGUAUGGACAAAAUGCUAAAGAUGGCGAAAAAAUUCAGACGCUUCAUUGCUGGACUUGAGCCAUAUCUUCAGCUACGUUGUCAUGAGCAGGGUGUCAAAACACUGGAUUCUGCACUUCAGUUUGCACAACAGAUCGAGACAGCUCACCAAGCUAGCAGGGUGUUUUCAUCUCCAAACACUCUGCCAUCUUUUCCUCAGGCUCCUGCCACUUUUACUAUCCCUUCGUUAACACCUACUCACCUUUCUACGUCCUCUACAUCUCUCAGUGUCCACUCUGCCACCUCAGACGAUCUUCGUAAAAUGCAGAAAACACUGGAGACACUCUCAGAAAGAGCUGAACAAUUACAGCUAGAGGUGAAACAUCAGUGACAAGACACACGACGUGGCUCAUCAGACCACAGAUCUCGUCAGCGGAGCCUCACUCCUGAUAGUGCACAAGGCCGCAGCCAUUACUAUUCCUCCGACAGAAACGCCUAUAGAGACUCCUCCUAUGACCGAUAUUCAGCUCGAGAUAGCUCCUACAGACAUCCACGGCAUGAAAGAGACCGCUAAGGCAGAAGGGAUUCCUACACUGGUUCUGGAUCAUCUGAGCGCUACACACACGGUUACAGCCCAUCACCCAGAGACUACACUCUGGCAUGGCAUGGCCGUUCUCCUGAACGCUGUGAGGACAAACAUCCCUCACAUUUUUGUCAUCGCUCCCAUCGCUCUUCAAGUCCUGGACAUGUACGCUUCCACUCUCCUACUCACACAAACAAGUAUCUUCUACAGAAACAGUUCCAGCCAUGUCAGAGAUGGUCAUCACAGCUAAACUAGAUGUGCCACUCAAAGGACUAGUACCUCAUGACUAUGCAGGUGUGUUUGAACCACACUACACUGAUCAUUCAUCUGCUGGUUUUGCAUGGACUGUAACAAAAGUUGAACAAGAUUCCGUCUAUGUGAAAGUAGCAAACCCCUCUAGUGAGGAAGUCAUGUUACAUUGUGGUACUCGGAUAGGAACUUUUCAUGCCACAUCUGGCAACAACAACAACAACGACGAGUACACUGUGAUGGAAAGUUCUGUGUGUAAUGUUAACAUUCAGCAGCCUGUCAUAUCCAAGCAAACUGUACUACCUGAUAUUUCAAACCCAGACCUUACAAGUGUGCAACAAAAGAAACUGAAAGACACUCAUUCUCAGAUGUGUUCAGUCAGCACUCACAUGACUUUGGAAAGACAGACCUGGUCACACACAAAAUCUCAACUAGCUGUGACACUCCCAUCUCACAAAGAGCUUAUCGUACCUCUCCUUCCAUUGAGAGCAGAAAUCCAACGUUCUUGUUUUGCGAGGUCUUCACUGGACAACAUGUGUCAUUUACCUCAAUGACAUAAUUUGCAUGGGACAAGACUUUCUGCAAGGGAGGCAACCAGGAUCAGGUCCCACCUGCUGUGACACAGAAACUCUGUCUGAACGGGAAGAAGACACAAACACAUUUUUAUGUGUCAACACAAAUUCAUCAGCCAAUAUGGCCGCUUUUUGAUGUCACAUCCGGUGCCGCUACGAAUGGACGCCUGCCAGAGUUGCUCCGUGUCUUUGUGUUAUGUUUUAUUAAUUUCUUUAGUUAGAAUUCUCUCUUUUUGAAUAACUUAUUUUAAACAUAGGGUGCUUUCUUGUGGUUUUUUCUUCCGUUGCCAUUCUGCACCUUAUCUGCCAUUAUCUGCCGUUAUCUUUUUACAGUACUCAGCUAUUUUUUAUAUUACUCUGUUAUUUUAUAUUUUGUGUGAUAACUUGAUACUUUCGUUUGCUUCUUUGUACUGCAACCCUGGCACAACAAUUUCCUGUGGGAUCAAUAAAGUUCUUAUCUUAUCUUUUGCAAA